AGGCGAAAAGAACCCCGGCGAGGGGAGUGAAAAAGAACCUGAAACCGUGUACGUACAAGCAGUGGGAGCACAGGUUUACCUGUGUGACUGCGUACCUUUUGUAUAAUGGGUCAGCGACUUAUAUUCUGUAGCAAGGUUAACCGAAUAGGGGAGCCGGAGGGAAACCGAGUCUUAAUUGGGCGUUAAGUUGCAGGGUAUAGACCCGAAACCCGGUGAUCUAGCCAUGGGCAGGUUGAAGGUUGGGUAACACUAACUGGAGGACCGAACCGACUAAUGUUGAAAAAUUAGCGGAUGACCUGUGGCUGGGGGUGAAAGGCCAAUCAAACCGGGAGAUAGCUGGUUCUCCCCGAAAGCUAUUUAGGUAGCGCCUCGUGAAUUCAUCUCCGGGGGUAGAGCACUGUUUCGGCUAGGGGGCCAUCCCGGCUUACCAACCCGAUGCAAACUGCGAAUACCGGAGAAUGUUAUCACGGGAGACACACGGCGGGUGCUAACGUCCGUCGUGAAGAGGGAAACAACCCAGACCGCCAGCUAAGGUCCCAAAGUCAUGGUUAAGUGGGAAACGAUGUGGGAAGGCCCAGACAGCCAGGAUGUUGGCUUAGAAGCAGCCAUCAUUUAAAGAAAGCGUAAUAGCUCACUGGUCGAGUCGGCCUGCGCGGAAGAUGUAACGGGGCUAAACCAUGCACCGAAGCUGCGGCAGCGACGCUUAUGCGU
RNAcentral lists this ribosomal RNA (711 nucleotides) under Salmonella enterica subsp. enterica serovar Dublin. RNAcentral's name for it is "partial 23S ribosomal RNA". It matches the Rfam family "Bacterial large subunit ribosomal RNA", at positions 512 to 1221 of the family's 2925-position model. Lineage: Bacteria; Pseudomonadati; Pseudomonadota; Gammaproteobacteria; Enterobacterales; Enterobacteriaceae. The record is from RNAcentral.